RNAcentral lists this transfer RNA (91 nucleotides) under Terriglobia bacterium. Its description in RNAcentral is "tRNA-OTHER". The stretch from base 11 to 88 matches the Rfam family "tRNA". Rfam says of the family: Transfer RNA (tRNA) molecules are approximately 80 nucleotides in length. Their secondary structure includes four short double-helical elements and three loops (D, anti-codon, and T loops). Further hydrogen bonds mediate the characteristic L-shaped molecular structure. tRNAs have two regions of fundamental functional importance: the anti-codon, which is responsible for specific mRNA codon recognition, and the 3' end, to which the tRNAs corresponding amino acid is attached (by aminoacyl-tRNA synthetases). tRNAs cope with the degeneracy of the genetic code in two manners: having more than one tRNA (with a specific anti-codon) for a particular amino acid; and 'wobble' base-pairing, i.e. permitting non-standard base-pairing at the 3rd anti-codon position. Lineage: Bacteria; Pseudomonadati; Acidobacteriota; Terriglobia. The record is from RNAcentral.
GGUGCGGUGUGGCAAGGAAACGCAGUUAGGGGCGCUAGGGAAAGGUCUGCAAAACCUUUAUGCGUCGGUUCGAUUCCGACCCGCGCCUCCA